RNAcentral lists this ribosomal RNA (440 nucleotides) under uncultured bacterium. Its description in RNAcentral is "partial 16S ribosomal RNA". It matches the Rfam family "Bacterial small subunit ribosomal RNA", at positions 338 to 795 of the family's 1533-position model. The record is from RNAcentral.
CCUACGUGAGGCUGCAGUAGGGAAUCUUUCACAAUGGGCGAAAGCCUGAUGGAGCAACGCCGCGUGCAGGAUGAAGGCCUUCGGGUUGUAAACUGCUUUUAUAAGCGAGAAAUAUGAUGGUAACUUAUGAAUAAGGAUCGGCUACCUACGUGCCAGCAGCCGCGGUAAUACGUAGGUGGCAAGCGUUAUCCGGAAUGACUGGGCGUAACGGGUGCGUAGGUGGUUUAGUAAGUUGGCGGUGUAAUUCCGGGGCUCAACCUCGGCGCUACCGCCAAAACUAUUAGACUAGAGUGCAGGAGGGGUAAGUGGAAUUCCUAGUGUAGCGGUGGAAUGCGUAGAUAUUAGGAGGAACAUCAGGGGCGAAGGCGACUUACUGGACUGUAACUGACACUGAGGCACGAAAGCGUGGGGAGCAAACAGGAUUAGAUACCCGGGUAGUC